GCCCUACGGGUGGCAGCAAUUAGGAAUCUUGCACAAUGGGGGAAACCCUGAUGCAGCGACGCCGCGUGAAUGAUGAAGUCUUUCGGGAUGUAAAGUUCUGUCCUACAGGGAAGAAGAAUGUGACGGUACCUGUAGAGAAAGCCCCGGCUAACUACGGGCCAGCAGCCGCGGUAAUACGUAGGGGGCGAGCGUUGUCCGAAUUUAUUGGGCGUAAAGCGCGUGUAGGCGGCUCUUUAAGUCAGCUGUGAAAUCCUGCGGCUCAACCGCAGAACUGCAUUUGAUACGGGAGGGCUUGAGUGUGGGAGAGGAAAGUGGAAUUCCUGGUGUAGCGGUGAAAUGCGUAGAUAUCAGGAGGAACACCCGUGGCGAAGGCGGCUUUCUGGCCCACCACUGACGCUGAGACGCGAAAGCUAGGGGAGCGAACGGGAUUAGAUACCCGAGUAGUC
This 446-nucleotide ribosomal RNA is filed under the name uncultured bacterium. RNAcentral describes it as "bacterial SSU rRNA". It matches the Rfam family "Bacterial small subunit ribosomal RNA", at positions 335 to 795 of the family's 1533-position model. The record is from RNAcentral.